This is a long non-coding RNA of Acyrthosiphon pisum (pea aphid), 8281 nucleotides long. RefSeq lists it as uncharacterized. The transcript has 2 exons. NCBI's taxonomy places the organism in Eukaryota, Metazoa, Arthropoda, Insecta, Hemiptera, Aphididae. The record is from RefSeq and is a predicted model, not a curated record.
AAAAAAAAAAAGUAAAUUUCGCUCUUGCAAUAUUCGUAUUAUCAUUAUUAUUAUAUUAUUAAAUGUAUAUUAUAUUUUGUUAGUAUACCUACUUAAUACGUGAUUAGCUCGUCCAUAAUAUAAGCUGAACAAUAUAAUUGCAAACACCUAACUAUUUCUUCGAAUUUGAAACUACGUGACCCUAAAUCGAGAGAACGCCGCGCGGUUCUUCAGUAAUCAGUAUAAUAAUGAUAAUAAUUAAUAAUCGUAAUAAUAUGCAUGUACGUUUCGUAUAUAAUAAUAUAAUCUACCUAUAGUAUGUUAUGUAAAUGUAAAAGCGAUUAUUUUCCUAAUUAUUUUUUAGUAAUCAAUGUAAUACAUUAUGGUAAUCACUUCGGUUUCGGCCGUCGAUACACAUAUUAAUUUAAUGUGUUUAGGUAUAAUAAUAAGGCAUAUUAUAAAACUGCGGCGACGUGAUAAAUCCGAAAAUUGAGUUUGCAUAAUAUAAAAUAUAUUGUUAAUAUAACUUAUUAAAAUAUACAGUGUGAGCGCGUGUUUUUCUCAGACCAUUAGCAUUCCAUGUCAUAUACGCUUCGUGGUAUCCUUAUGCGUGCGUAAUAUUGUACUUGCAGCAUAAGUUUUAAUUAUGUAGUAAUUAUUAUAUACUAUUUUUUUUACAGAGAAACUUUCUAUAUUGUAACGUCAUUUUUGUUUUAGUCGAUCCCCGCUCGUCACCAUCCGAAUGCAAAUUCAAAUUGUGUCUAUAGCAAAAUUUUUACUCUAAUGCCAAAACUGUUCAACAUUAUAUUAUAUUAUAGACCUGAAACCACCAUAAUAUUUAGUGUUUAACACACCAAUCACGUGUGUUUCUCCUAUUUGCGAACCGGUUGUGCGUGUACAGAAAUGAAAAACAUAUGAAAUACGACUGCACGGUGUUUAUAAUAUAUAAAUAGGUAUUAGAAAACAUUAUAUUAUUAUGUCUAUAUGGGCAUAGUCUAUACGCGCAGUUUAUUUUGAUUUAAUUUAAUUCAUUUUUUUUUUGUUUCUAAUGCGGUGAAGGUUGCCGAUUCGCAAUUUGAAUGCUAAUUGACAAUGGUAUUGGGAAAAAAAAACAACACCAAACGCCGCACGUGAAAACUGUCGAUAUAGAAAUAAUAAUUCUAGGUGGUUCCGUCGCGUCCAAGUCCGACGAUAAUAAUAUAAUACACACACUUAUAUAUUAUAUACGAGUAAAAUGCGUGUACAGUUUUUCCUUUGUUUAAAUAGUUUUCGUGAGAACUCGUGUGUAGUAAAAAUAAUAUAUUAUAUAGUGAAUAAUGCUAUAUAUUAUAUUAUGUAUAGGUAGGUAUUAUACGCGUGUAUUAUGUAUGUGCCAUUGGAAACGACGUGUGCUUGGCAAAUCGCUUUUUUGGCAACGUUUCUCGGUAACAAUCACGUAUUCAUUAUUUUUGAUCGAUUACAAUAAUACGAUGCGUGCACAAGGGAAAUUUCAGGGUAGGUACGUGCAAUUUAUGUAUUUUUCUACCGCAUAUAUAAAGCGUAUAUCCACUGUAUAUGUAUGCGGGUGAAUAUUGUAUACACAUAGCCGUAGAACUCUAUGCAUAGAAUAUAAUUUAGUCACGUACAUUGAAAACAUAAUUGUAUAACGGCCUGGUGUUGUUUAACGCGAAUUCGUUAGGAAUAUUACGAAUGGCGCGCGUUUUACUGUAACGACUAUGGAACGAAAAAAAAAAAUGAAAAGUGUCAGGUAAACGAAUUAUUGUUUUCGACAUAUUAAUUUUGAAUCGUGUACUGUAGUUCGUUAUUCAAACAAUAUUUAGUUUUUUUUUUACGCAUUUCCACCUGAAUCAUAUAGGUACCGAUUAUAUUAUAUUAUAAUUGCAUUUGUUUGUUUUUAUUGUAUGAAAUAUUUAAUGUGUACCAUAAUAAUAUUAUUACUAAAGCAACUUCUGCAGGAUGUUUAAAUCGUGGGAAAUCAAUCUUUAACAAUGCCUUCCCAAUUUCCUCCGAACGUCGCUUGUCUCAGCUCUGUUGCAGACGUUCAAAAAAUAGAGUGCCUACUGUUCCUAAUAAGAAGUCUGUUGGAAAAAAAAUAUCACUAACACAUAUUUUAUAUCGUGCUUGGUAGUUCGAAUCAUGUUAAUUAGGCUUAUGUGAAACACGUGUUAGAUUAAUGAGAUAUUCUGAAGUAAUAAAUUAAUGAAAAACGAUUGAAUUUGUUUUUUCUCAUAUCAUUAGGAACUAUUAUGCACAUCAAAAUCAUUUAAUUCUAAUCAACUAUUUUUUUUUUUAAUUAUUAUUAUUGCAACUGUAUUCUUAGGUUACAGUCUGCAUCAUUAUAGGUGCGCAUAUAUCAGACUUAUAGAUUUUAAUAUUGUUAAUCGAAUUAUGAGCAAUCACAUCACCAUGUGUAAGUGUAAUAUGCUUAUGAGUUAUGAUAUCAUAAUAAUAAUAUAUAACCGACAAUAACGACGCGCACGAACAACUACUGUGACCUUUUAUCAAAAAAUAAAAUACUAUUAUUGAAACACAAAGCGAGAUAAUUUCUGAAUAUUAUAUACAUUCGUUUUCGAAUUUAAAACAUGAAUAACUACCACAUCGUCGUCUUCGUGCAUAUUAUAGUCACGCAUAAAUAAUAUUAAACCAUAUAUGACUAAUUAUACAUAAUAUUAUUAUAAGUGUGUGUUAUUAUACAAGUAUGUAACUCCUCAAAAUAGGCGCGAUUGUAUAGUAUAAUAUGUCUUGUAAUUAUAUUAAUAUCGUUUCUAUCGUGGCAGGCAGUAGACUGUGGGCCUGUGGGGUUGCAACAUGUAAUGUAUAUUAUGAAUGUGUAUAUAAUAUUAUAUGUAUGCAGGGAAGGUAAUAAUAGUACUGAUGACAGCCAAUGGUGAUUACUGAUUGUUAGCAUUGUGAAGCCAGUCUUGUUUUAUAAUACAUGGCAGUUCUCAACGGACACCGAUCAGUGAGAGGCUACGAGGCGUCCAAGUUUGUGAGUAUAAUUAUGCGAAUAUCUAUUUAAGUAUAUAACAAUAUAUUAUACUAUAGAUGAUGGAUUGAUGAUUUUCGAUUGAAGUUACUUACUUAAAGAUCUUUUUUUUCAAUCUGACCCUGUCGUUAAAAUAAGAUGAGAUAUGGCGUGGGUUUUGAUAAUGGAUCAAAUAAAUAAAUAUAUGUUUGGAAAAAAACUAUUCCUAUCUGCAGGGUCCAACGAAUAACGACUCUCCCCGGAUAUCGUAUAAUAUACUGACCACGUUACAGGGUUAUAAUACUGUCAUCUGGAUUGUGGUCUGAUUGUACCUAUAUCUAAGAUGGGGUGCAGAGCGGUCUUGAAGAUUUUUAUCAAUGUGUCGGGGAACAACGUUUGAAUUUCAAAGAAAAACCAGUUUAUAGGUAUAACUCAAUAAACCUGUUUUUGUCCGGGCGGCGUGUCCCUCUCUAUGGAUAAUGAGUAUAUUCUCCUCACCGGAGAACCUGUAUAUAUUCCAUGUAAUAGGUAUAUACAAGUAGGUACCCAUAUUAUAAGUUAUUUUUAACCAUCAUGCUUUGUUUAUAAGAAAAAAAAACAAGUUAGUCUCGGUUGAUAAAUUAUUUAAAAAGUAUGUUUUAAAUUAUUAUUUGUUGGCAUAUACUGUUUCAACUGAAAAUAUUGUUCAAUACUUCAAUGUGACAGUCACGAGAAGUCCCAGUAUACAAUACGAUGGUGCUAUAGUAAAACACGUUCAACCUUAUUGAUUGAAUAUAGCUGCUGUUAUUUUCAUUAUCAGUUUCUUGAUGUAUGCUAGCAAUGUGUCGGAAACCAAGAAAUUUUCCUUUCCAAUGAUAUUGGAAAAGCGGCAGCCUACGUUGUUUUGUUGCCAAUACAUAUAGCCAUAUAGACGAUAAUAUAGCAUUUCAUAUUCGGUGGAUUCUUUUAUGUUCAACCUGUAUAACAUUAAGGUAUACAAUAUAAUAUGUAUUAUGCAUGCAUAAAAAUAUAAAUAUCGCUGUCGUCCGGGUGAUAUAGUUUUAUCAUCGGUUGGAUUAGGGUUCGGAGGAGAUAUUUAUAAUUUAUAUAUCUAUAUAUAUAUAUAUUAUAUUGGUUAGCUAGAAUAUGACGGAUAACGUUAUGAAAUACGAUAAGUAGGUACGUAAAAAAUAAAACCGCGGAAAACGCACCCAAUGCUCUGGAAAAAGGGACGCGUGCAAAUAUACAGACGCGUAAUGUCGGUACAGCUGAAUUCACCAUGUAUGCUCACCCCCGUUAUUUCUUCAACAACGAAUCUAUUCAAAUUCUGUUUUUUGGAAUCUCAAAGUCCAUUUAAAGACGAUAUUUUCAAUUAUUAGGCCUUUUCUGUCUGUAGCAAUUAUCAGAGUGUCCUCUGGCGAUAUCAACGUCUAUUUUUGAUAAGUAUAGCCCUAUAUUCAUAUAAAAGUCCAUGGCAAUGGAUUCGAGAGAUUGGCUUUGAUAAUUUUAAAAUAAGUAUUUAUCUAUCAACAUUAUAAUAUAAUUUGUAAACAAUUGCCCGAGUAUGAUAAAUACUAGAUCCUAUAUUACAUCUAUUUUAGAUUUUAGAUUCAGAGCGUAGCGAUUAUCAACUCUCAAAUAGGGUUAUUGUAGCUAAUUGAAUCCAUAGUUGGUACUUUUGUGAGGUAAAAAUGGAAAAACUCUACCAGUACUUUCUAAAAUAAUCGAGAAAAACUAAAAUAAAAUACAAACAUUUGUUAAUAAAAUAAUUAUUUGGUAACCUAGACAAAUUUUGCUUAUAAUCGUUUUUCUUCGAAUACAAUAAAUUUAUAAUGAUUGAAUUCAAGUUUAACACACCUGCAUUACGAUGCUUACUCAAUGACGAGGUACACUCGACUACUACCGAACAGCAGAGGGGUUAUGUCUACUUACUUUCCCCCCUUUUUCGAAACGAAAUCAUCUGCUUAGUCUUUUUUAUUGUAAAAAAGAACGGUUGUCAUUUGUUUUAAUAAAAAGAAGUUUACUCAUCGCCACAGGACAUUUCCUCACUGCAGAUGGUAUAAAAUACUUAUUUAACUAAUUAAAAAUAUGGCCCUCGAGUAGUUAGGGGUAUAAUACUAUAAUAUGUCUAUAUACCGCUCAAAAGCUCCAAAAAUAAUAUAAUAUUUGAAUAUAAUAAUAUAACUAAAGGGUUAAAUGCUGGGCCGAGCAUGCUCGGUGGAUCGCCCUGUAUACAAUAUUGUUGUUUACGUGCGAGGUGUAUAUAUGUAUAGAAAUAUGAGUCAAACGCUCGCUCGCGAGAUUUAUGUCGAACGAUUAAUCGUGUAAAUACCCGUGUAUCGGUGCUGCAGCUGUGGCAGCGUGCGCGGAAAAUUCCGCGGCGGUGAUUUAUCGACGGCGUCGUCGGAUUCGCGUGCGUUUCGCAGUCGCGGGAAAACGAAAGCAGCGCUUUUAACCUAUAUACCGUGUACAACGUAAUGUGCGGCAAAACGAAUAUUAUAUUAUUAUGACGUACACACGGCGAAGUCCGCGAGCCGAAAAUCAUCGCCCGCCUUUUUAUCAUCGUCAUCAUCGUCAGUAUUAUUACUAUUAUAAUAUACGACUGCUAUAAUAUAUAAUGUACGUCGUCGGAGCGGCGUACAAUAAUAAUAUGUACAACGACACACGCACUAAAAGUUCGUUUCGGAUGGCCGCGAUAAUACACACACACACACGCAUACACCCAGAUAAGGAUCCCGUAAUUAAUGUACGCAUUAGCCUCGGUAUACGUUAUAUAUAUAUAUAUAUAUAUAUAUUAUAAUAUAUUGUACGAGUGUCCCGGUGCGAGUGCGGCUGUGGAGGCCCAUUAUUUCCGUGCAACCGGCCGUUGUGCAGGCGGCGGCGGUGGGCUGCUGCGAGCUGCUGUUGCGGCGAGAAAUGCAUUUCGAAUUAGAUACGCACACCGCAUAUACCGUAUACACACGUAUAAAAUAUAUAUUAUAUAUGAUACAUAAUAUGUAUAUAAUGUCGUAGGCUGUACAGCUAUACGCGGUGACUACCUAUACAUAAUAUAAUAUAUAGGUGGUACAUAUUAUGUGGUAUAUAUAAUAGUACUUCGUAUAUAUCAUAUAUACGUGCGGGUGUGCGUGUGCGGUAUAACGUUAUGUGGUUAUCCCGCGAGCGCACGAUAACAUCAUAAUAUAUUAUGUAUAUAAUAUAUAAUAUAUAUAUAUAUAUCGGAAACAUAAAACGGCGGCGGCUCUAGAAGGGGGGUGCGAAGGCGCGCGCUCAAUUGUCGGGUAAUGCGAAAAAAAUUUAGAUGGAUUUUACGCCUAACUAUUCGCAGUUUUCCGUCGUAUUAUUAAAUAUGUAUCAAUAUAAUAUUAAUCGCGUAAAUACAUCAGCACCGGCCGCGUACCUAACCUACACAUAUUUCGCGUAUAGUCGUGUCGCAAACUCGUAACGACUUUACAAUGUUUCAAAUAUUUUAUCCGUUUUGCUGUUUUGCACUCCGCGCAUCUCACCCGCCGGCCGUUAUAGUACGUCUCGUGUAAUUUUUUUUUUACAUAUUUAAGAAUUUGAUACGCGUUACAAAAUUCGAUUAAACCUGUUACCGAAGCCGCGGAUGCUUGCGUAUAAAUUAUUAUAUUGUAUACGAUCGAUUUACUUUUGUGUACGCUGUAUAUUAUAUAGUUAAUUGCGACGGACGUGACUUUUAUAACUCGCAUGUAUAUACCGCGGCGCAUGUAUAUUGAGUGUGUUUAUAGCUUAUGAUGAUAAUAAUUCGAAAGCGCUUUUUACGGUUCUUUAAAUCAAUUCUAUGGUCUCACGGUGUUUUUUGUAACACCUUUUUGAAAUUGGCAUAUAAAUAUAUAUAUAUGUUUUCGAGUGUACCUGCGCAUAUAAUAUAUACGCGAGACAGCGUCGUUCGCCGCCUUAUACGUAUUAUUAUAAACACCGACCCCGUUUUACGAUCGUCCGAUCGACGGCGGACAUUUUAUUCGAACGUCGUGUUGGUAACAAAAAAAAAAUAUAAAUAUAAAAUGUGUAAAUCGAUUCAAACCGCACCGCGAUAGCACGUCAUGCUGCAGGAUACAUGGAAAAAAGUUUCGAGCCAAGUCCCGCGCGGUCGAAAGUUCUGCGUUAUAGUGACUGCAUCAUUUGUCUCUUCCGCUGUCGUAUAUACCCAUGGGUGCAAAUAGCGUUUGGGAUUCGGGGAGACUAAAGUCUUACUUUGAUAAUAUUAAAUAAGCUUAAAACAAAAUGUAGGAAAUGUUUAGGGGGCCAUUGACAUUUUUUGGGGGGGCUUAGGCCUUAAAACCCCACCCCUAUUUGCCUCGCCACGCAGCAGUUGACACGUGGGAGUUAUCGUACGUUAUCGUAUAUAAGCGCAUCGAUUGACGUUGUUAUAUUAUUAUAGACACUCCGCGCACAAGUAUGUAACAUAAUACAUUUGAUUGAUAACGGGCAGUAAUAGGCGAAUGACGACGAUAACACAAUAUACGCAUAUUAUGGUAAUAAUAGUGUACAGAUGACGCGAGCGCGUUCUCCCGGAAAACCGUCGUAUAGGAGGUUGUGUCGGAGAAGCGAUUUUAACGCCUGCGGGGGGGUGCGCGGUUGUCUUCGAGUGCACGAUUUCUACGGAAAACGCCCGUGCCAAAGACCCGCGAUCCUUUGUGCCGGCCGACACGCAUCACGACCCAACGCGUAUAUAACAUUACAUUAUAUUCUACACGUCUUGUAUUGUACCUAUAGGUGUAUAAUAUAAUAUAUUAUGUGCGCGUGAAUAUGACGUUUGUUCGGUGUUUACAAUGUGUGCCGAUCGGCGGACCCUAUGGCCGGACCCGCUGCAAAGUCGUCGUUAAAUGCGUGUGUGUUUGUGUGUUUGUCACACACAUGUCGGGACGGAACGUUUACGAAGACGUACCUCUGUAUAAAUAAUGAUGUACGCAGUGGAAAAUCUAUAUAAUAUUGUACUCGUUGGACAAUAACGCGUUUCGUGUCCGCCGUACGAUACUAUACGGUGUACGCAUAUUAUAUGGCCAUGUAUUAUUCCGUUUUAUAUUUGUGUAUAGUUAUAGACUAUAGAUCAUUUAAAUCGUGUACCUACGCCGGACGCCGGUAAUCAUUUAAAAACGACCACAGUUUUUCGCUCUAAUCUUCAUCUUGCUAGUAUAACAGGAAACGUUCGUUUAUAAUGGAGAUGGUAUACAAAACGUUUGCCUGCUGCGGACGGGUGGUGCAUCGUUAAUGAUUAAAAUAAAAAAAAAAACGUUUUCUCCAAACAAAAUGAAAAAUUUGAAAAACGGAAAAUGCAUAUUUAUAUCUUGUUUUUCCCAGCAUGAUUGUUAUGGAGAUCGAAAAUACCUGGUUUCAAAA